AAGGCGGAGGAAAUGCGCUGG
Molecule: unclassified non-coding RNA, 21 nt
Filed under: Chlamydomonas reinhardtii
Lineage: Eukaryota; Viridiplantae; Chlorophyta; Chlorophyceae; Chlamydomonadales; Chlamydomonadaceae
Description: small RNA Cre_0127
Source: RNAcentral